Molecule: ribosomal RNA, 206 nt
Filed under: Dendroclathra sp.
Lineage: Eukaryota; Fungi; Ascomycota; Sordariomycetes
Description: partial large subunit ribosomal RNA
Source: RNAcentral
AAGCGCUUGUGACCAGACUUGUGCCUGGUAAAUCAGCUGGCGUUCUCGCCAGUGCAUUUUGCCGGUUCAGGCCAGCAUCAGUUUACCGUUGGGGAGAAAAACAGCAGGAACGUGGCUCUUCGGAGUGUUAUAGCCCGCUGUACAAUACCCUCCGGUGGACUGAGGUACGCGCUCCGCAAGGAUGCUGGCGUAAUGGUCAUCAGCGA